Lyophyllum atratum is the source of this 85-nucleotide non-coding RNA. The record is from the annotation of a GenBank genome assembly. Lineage: Eukaryota; Fungi; Basidiomycota; Agaricomycetes; Agaricales; Lyophyllaceae.
GGCCGUGUGGCGAAAUGGCAUCGCGUCUGACUACGAUUCGAAGUUACCUAUCAGGAGAUUGCAGGUUCGACCCCUGUCUCGGUCA